RNAcentral lists this small nuclear RNA (160 nucleotides) under Thalictrum thalictroides. Its description in RNAcentral is "U1 spliceosomal RNA". It matches the Rfam family "U1 spliceosomal RNA". Rfam says of the family: U1 is a small nuclear RNA (snRNA) component of the spliceosome (involved in pre-mRNA splicing). Its 5' end forms complementary base pairs with the 5' splice junction, thus defining the 5' donor site of an intron. The record is from Rfam by way of RNAcentral. Lineage: Eukaryota; Viridiplantae; Streptophyta; Magnoliopsida; Ranunculales; Ranunculaceae.
AUACUUACCUGGACGGGGUCAAUGAACGAUCAAGAAGGUUCAUGGCCUAGGUUAGUGACCUCCAUUGCACUCAGGAGGGGUGCUGGCCUAAGAUAUCCCCAAGUGGGAUAGUCUACGUCAUAAUUUGUUGCCGAGGGGGUACGCGUUCGCGCGGCCCUUG